GGAGAAUUGCAGUGAUAAAAAUGAAUGUUUUACCGAGGCUACUCUACAUAUUUCACACAGCCCCACAGGUGAUUCCGCAGGCAUUUUUCAGGACACUCAAAACAGCAAUCACACAAUAUAUUUGGAGAGGGGAGAAGGCCCGCAUUGGCUUUGACAAGCUCUGCUUACCAAGAAGCUGGGGAGGGUUAGCCUUGCCCGACAUCAGAAAAUACCACCAGGCUACAGUACUGCAGAGGCUCAAG
Molecule: non-coding RNA, 242 nt
Organism: Pelobates cultripes (western spadefoot toad)
Lineage: Eukaryota; Metazoa; Chordata; Amphibia; Anura; Pelobatidae
Source: the annotation of a GenBank genome assembly